Molecule: regulatory RNA element, 80 nt
Organism: Lactobacillus pasteurii
Lineage: Bacteria; Bacillati; Bacillota; Bacilli; Lactobacillales; Lactobacillaceae
Source: Rfam
CCACAUCUGCAACCGCACAUAACGAGGUAAGAAGUUCUUUGAGGUAGAAGACACCUCGGUUGGCGAGUCUAAGUAUUUUU